This 532-nucleotide ribosomal RNA is filed under the name uncultured delta proteobacterium. Its description in RNAcentral is "bacterial SSU rRNA". It matches the Rfam family "Bacterial small subunit ribosomal RNA", at positions 78 to 587 of the family's 1533-position model. The record is from RNAcentral. Lineage: Bacteria; Deltaproteobacteria.
CUUGCAGUCCCGAGUAGAGUGGCGCACGGGUGAGUAACGAGUAGAUAAUCUACCUUUGAAUUAGGGAUAACUAUGCGAAAGUGUAGCUAAUACCUGAUGAUGUCGAGUAGCCUUUGGGUUAUUUGAUGAAAGAGAGCUUUUUCGGAGGCAUUUGUUUGAAGAUGAGUCUGCGUACCAUUAGUUAGUUGGUGGGGUAAAAGCUUACCAAGACGAUGAUGGUUAGCUGGUCUGAGAGGAUGAUCAGCCACACUGGAACUGGGACACGGUCCAGACUCCUACGGGAGGCAGCAGUGAGGGAUUUUGCGCAAUGGGGGAAACCCUGACGCAGCAACGCCGCGUGAGUGAAGAAGGCCUUUGGGUUGUAAAGCUCUGUCGAUGGGGAAGAAGUUACUGUAUUUUAAUAGAGUAUAGUAUUGACGGUACCUGAGAAGGAAGCAUCGGCUAACUCCGUGCCAGCAGCCGCGGUAAUACGGGGGAUGCAAGCGUUAUUCGGAAUUAUUGGGCGUAAAGGGCGCGUAGGUUGUAGAUAGAG